RNAcentral lists this ribosomal RNA (429 nucleotides) under bacterium. RNAcentral's name for it is "partial 16S ribosomal RNA". It matches the Rfam family "Bacterial small subunit ribosomal RNA", at positions 355 to 776 of the family's 1533-position model. The record is from RNAcentral.
UAGGGAAUCUUCGGCAAUGGGGGCAACCCUGACCGAGCAACGCCGCGUGAGUGAAGAAGGUUUUCGGAUCGUAAAGCUCUGUUGUAAGAGAAGAACGUGUGUGAGCGUGGAAAGUUCACACAGUGACGGUAACUUACCAGAAAGGGACGGCUAACUACGUGCCAGCAGCAGCGGUAAUACGUAGGUCCCGAGCGUUGUCCGGAUUUAUUGGGCGUAAAGCGAGCGCAGGCGGUUUAAUAAGUCUGAAGUUAAAGGCAGUGGCUUAACCAUUGUUCGCUUUGGAAACUGUUAAACUUGAGUGCAGAAGGGGAGGGUGGAAUUCCAUGUGUAGCGGAGAAAUGCGUAGAUAUAUGGAGGAACACCGGUGGCGAAAGCGGCUCUCUGGUCUGUAACUGACGCUGAGGCUCGAACGCGUGGGGAGCAAACAGG